This 253-nucleotide ribosomal RNA is filed under the name uncultured bacterium. RNAcentral describes it as "partial 16S ribosomal RNA". It matches the Rfam family "Bacterial small subunit ribosomal RNA", at positions 524 to 776 of the family's 1533-position model. The record is from RNAcentral.
GACGUAGGGCGCGAGCGUUGUCCGGAUUUAUUGGGCGUAAAGAGCUCGUAGGCGGUCUGUCGCGUCGGCUGUGAAAACCCGGGGCUCAACCCCGGGCCUGCAGUCGAUACGGGCAGACUAGAGUUCGGUAGGGGAGACUGGAAUUCCUGGUGUAGCGGUGAAAUGCGCAGAUAUCAGGAGGAACACCGGUGGCGAAGGCGGGUCUCUGGGCCGAUACUGACGCUGAGGAGCGAAAGCAUGGGUAGCGAACAGG